Molecule: ribosomal RNA, 251 nt
Filed under: uncultured prokaryote
Description: partial 16S ribosomal RNA
Rfam family: Bacterial small subunit ribosomal RNA
Source: RNAcentral
ACGUAGGGUGCGAGCGUUAAUCGGAAUUACUGGGCGUAAAGCGCACGCAGGCGGUCGGAUGAGUCGGAUGUGAAAGCCCUGGGCUUAACCUGGGAACUGCAUUCGAUACUGUCUGGCUAGAGUAUGGGAGAGGGAAGCGGAAUUUCCGGUGUAGCGGUGAAAUGCGUAGAGAUCCGGAGGAACACCAGAGGCGAAGGCGACACCCUGGGCCGUACCUGACGCUAAGACGCGACAGCACGGGGAGCGAACGG